RNAcentral lists this ribosomal RNA (430 nucleotides) under uncultured bacterium. Its description in RNAcentral is "bacterial SSU rRNA". It matches the Rfam family "Bacterial small subunit ribosomal RNA", at positions 355 to 776 of the family's 1533-position model. The record is from RNAcentral.
UGGGGAAUUUUGCACAAUGGGGGAAACCCUGAUGCAGCAACGCCGCGUGAGUGAAGAAGGCCCUUGGGUCGUAAAGCUCUUUCGGCCGAGAAGAAGGGUGUCAUGGCUAAUAUCCACGACAUUUGACGGUAUCGGAAGAAGAAGCACCUGCUAACUUCGUGCCAGCAGCAGCGGUAAUACGAAGGGUGCAAGCGUUGUUCGGAAUUACUGGGCGUAAAGGGCGCGUAGGCGGGUUUGUAAGUCGAAUGUGAAAUCCCCAGGCUUAACCUGGGACCUGCAUUCGAUACUGCUAAUCUUGAAUGCUUGAGAGGGUGGUGGAAUUCCUAGUGUAGAAGUGAAAUUCGUAGAUAUUAGGAGGAACAUCUGAGGCGAAGGCGGCCACCUGGCAAGACAUUGACGCUAAGGCGCGAAAGUGCGGGGAGCAAACAGG